UCCCUGAUAGCUCAGUUGGUAAAGAAUCUGCCUGCAAUGCAGAAAACUCCUGGUUUGAUUCCUGGGUCGGGAA
Molecule: transfer RNA, 73 nt
Filed under: Bos taurus (domestic cattle)
Lineage: Eukaryota; Metazoa; Chordata; Mammalia; Artiodactyla; Bovidae
Also listed under: 5 other names
Rfam family: tRNA
About the family: Transfer RNA (tRNA) molecules are approximately 80 nucleotides in length. Their secondary structure includes four short double-helical elements and three loops (D, anti-codon, and T loops).
Source: Rfam by way of RNAcentral